Molecule: long non-coding RNA, 1010 nt
Organism: Mustela lutreola (European mink)
Lineage: Eukaryota; Metazoa; Chordata; Mammalia; Carnivora; Mustelidae
Exons: 3
Source: RefSeq, a predicted model, not a curated record
GGGAGAAGCAGGCUCCCCGCUGAGCAGAGAGCCCGCUGUGGGACUCGAUCCCAUGGACCCUGGGAUCAUGACCUGAGCCGAAGGCAGACGCUUAAUCGACUGAGCCAUCCAGGCGCCCGCCCAGAGCUUUAAGUAAGGUCCUGGCACGUGCCGCGUCCCGACUCUCGGAAUGCUCUGCUGUCCCCAUUCAGGGACACCAGCUCAGAGUCCUGGCUGGGGGUCACCCCCUUUGGCAUCUCUCCAGAGAACCCCCUUCCAGAGGGCCUUCAGAGACACGCCAGCUCGUCCUGCGUGACCCUCCCCCGGCCCUCAGGACCACCUCGCAGGGGUGAGAUGAGCACAGGUGUUAGCUGUCCUGGACCGUGAUCCUCACCCCGGGGCUGAGCAAACAGCUGUGACAAGCCUCAGAGAGCCCCGCGGCACGGACGCUUCGCGACCGUUUACAGAGAGCAGGCCGCUUCUUGCAUCGACGCUCGCCUUCACGGAGUUUGGAAGACAGAGGAGAGCCCAGGUGAAGAGCAGGAGAAGACGCAGGCUGGGCUCUGCCCCGGGUCCUGGCACCCGGCUCUGAACACCCUUGCAAGUUCACUAAGAGCGCUGGGAGCAUCUUUCAUUCUUGGAUUUCGUCGAUGAGCCCCGGGAUGCUAAAUCCCUUGGAAUUUCUUGGAUGAUAGAAGGGACUUUUGUCCUAAGGAGGUGACUCUGGCUGGGCUCUGGGGUGCGGACUGGCUACGAGAAAGACAGAGCCUUGAAGGCUUGGAUGUCAUGCGGCAGGGAGAGGAGAGAGGCUGGAAAUGGGUGAGUGGUCGAUGGUGACUGUGGGGGAAGCUUCCAUAAAAUCCCCAAAGCACAGUGUUUGGAGACCCUCCGGGGGGGUGAACACAUCAGGUGUCGGGAGGGCGAAGCACCCCGGCUGCACGAGGACAGACCCUCCUAGCCCUCACUCUCUGUAUCGUCGUGGCCUCUGGCAUAUCCUUCACUUUAUAAUAAACCAGACACGCAGAUGUUUC